UUAUUUUCGUAACGGAGCGGUGAAAAGGGAAUCAGGUGUGAAUCCUGAACAGACCCGCUGCUGUAAGCUUUUUAAAGUCUUUGGACAUUACUCACGCCACUGUUUUACAUGAACGGGAAGGACGUCCGGAGAUAAAGCAAGUCAGAAGACCUGCCAAGAUC
This 161-nucleotide non-coding RNA is filed under the name Odoribacter splanchnicus. The record is from RNAcentral. Lineage: Bacteria; Pseudomonadati; Bacteroidota; Bacteroidia; Bacteroidales; Odoribacteraceae.